UUCCCUCCAGAGUGGAUCCUGAGUACGGCGGAACACGUGAAAUUCCGUCGGAAUCCGGGAGGACCAUCUCCCAAGGCUAAAUACUCCCUAGUGACCGAUAGUGAACCAGUACCGUGAGGGAAAGGUGAAAAGCACCCCGGAAGGGGAGUGAAACAGUUCCUGAAACCGUGUGCCUACAAGUAGUUAGAGCCCGUUAAUGGGUGAUAGCGUGCCUUUUGUAGAAUGAACCGGCGAGUUACGAUUUGUUGCAAGGUUAAGCGGAAAAAGCGGAGCCGUAGCGAAAGCGAGUCUGAAUAGGGCGCAUAAGUAACAGGUCGUAGACCCGAAACCAGGUGAUCUACCCAUGUCCAGGAUGAAGGUAAGGUAAUACUUACUGGAGGUCCGAACCCACGCACGUUGAAAAGUGCGGGGAUGAGGUGUGGGUAGCGGAGAAAUUCCAAUCGAACUUGGAGAUAGCUGGUUCUCUCCGAAAUAGCUUUAGGGCUAGCCUCGAGGUAAAGAGUCAUGGAGGUAGAGCACUGUUUGGACUAGGGGCCCUUCUCGGGUUACCGAAUUCAGAUAAACUCCGAAUGCCAUGUACUUAUACUCGGGAGUCAGACUGCGAGUGAUAAGAUCCGUAGUCGAAAGGGAAACAGCCCAGACCACCAGUUAAGGUCCCCAAAUAUAUGUUAAGUGGAAAAGGAUGUGGGGUUGCUUAGACAACCAGGAUGUUGGCUUAGAAGCAGCCACCAUUGAAAGAGUGCGUAAUAGCUCACUGGUCGAGUGACCCCGCGCCGAAAAUGUACCGGGGCUAAACAUAUUACCGAAACUGUGGAUGAACCUCUUCGGAGGUUCGUGGUAGGAGAGCGUUCUAAGGGCGGUGAAGUCAGACCGGAAGGACUGGUGGAGCGCUUAGAAGUGAGAAUGCCGGUAUGAGUAGCGAAAGAAGGGUGAGAAUCCCUUCCACCGAAUAUCUAAGGUUUCCUGAGGAAGGCUCGUCCGCUCAGGGUUAGUCGGGACCUAAGCCGAGGCCGAUAGGCGUAGGCGAUGGACAACAGGUAGAGAUUCCUGUACCAGUGCUAAUUGUUUAACCGAUGGGGUGACACAGAAGGAUAGGGAAUCGCACGAAUGGAAAUGUGCGUCCAAGCAGUGAGUGUGAGAAGUAGGCAAAUCCGCUUCUCGCGAAGCAUGAGCUGUGAUGGGGAAGGAAAUUAAGUACGGAAGUUCCUGAUUUCACGCUGUCAAGAAAAGCCUCUAGGAAGAGUAGUACUGCCCGUACCGCAAACCGACACAGGUAGAUGAGGAGAGAAUCCUAAGGUGAGCGAGAGAACUCUCGUUAAGGAACUCGGCAAAAUGACCCCGUAACUUCGGGAGAAGGGGUGCUCUAUUAGGGUGCAAGCCCGAGAGAGCCGCAGUGAAUAGGCCCAGGCGACUGUUUAGCAAAAACACAGGUCUCUGCAAAACCGUAAGGUGACGUAUAGGGGCUGACGCCUGCCCGGUGCUGGAAGGUUAAGAGGAGUGCUUAGCUUCGGCGAAGGUACGAAUUGAAGCCCCAGUAAACGGCGGCCGUAACUAUAACGGUCCUAAGGUAGCGAAAUUCCUUGUCGGGUAAGUUCCGACCCGCACGAAAGGCGCAACGAUCUGGGCACUGUCUCAACGAGAGACUCGGUGAAAUUAUAGUACCUGUGAAGAUGCAGGUUACCCGCGACAGGACGGAAAGACCCCGUGGAGCUUUACUGCAACCUGAUAUGGAAUGUUUGUACCGCUUGUACAGGAUAGGUAGGAGCCGAAGAGACGUGUGCGCUAGCAUACGAGGAGGCAAUGGUGGGAUACUACCCUGGCUGUAUGACCAUUCUAACCCGCCACGCUUAGCGCGUGGGGAGACAGUGUCAGGUGGGCAGUUUGACUGGGGCGGUCGCCUCCUAAAGAGUAACGGAGGCGCCCAAAGGUUCCCUCAGAAUGGAUGGAAAUCAUUCGCAGAGUGUAAAGGCACAAGGGAGCUUGACUGCGAGACUGACAAGUCGAGCAGGGACGAAAGUCGGGCUUAGUGAUCCGGUGGUUCCGCAUGGAAGGGCCAUCGCUCAACGGAUAAAAGCUACCCCGGGGAUAACAGGCUUAUCUCCCCCAAGAGUCCACAUCGACGGGGAGGUUUGGCACCUCGAUGUCGGCUCGUCGCAUCCUGGGGCUGUAGUCGGUCCCAAGGGUUGGGCUGUUCGCCCAUUAAAGCGGCACGCGAGCUGGGUUCAGAACGUCGUGAGACAGUUCGGUCCCUAUCCGUCGCGGGCGCAGGAAAUUUGAGAGGAGCUGUCCUUAGUACGAGAGGACCGGGAUGGACACACCGCUGGUGUACCAGUUGUUCCGCCAGGAGCAUCGCUGGGUAGCUAUGUGUGGCAGGGAUAAACGCUGAAAGCAUCUAAGCGUGAAGCCCCCCUCAAGAUGAGAUUUCCCAUUUCUUCGGAAAGUAAGAUCCCUGAAAGAUGAUCAGGUAGAUAGGUUUGGAGUGGAAGUGUAGCGAUACAUGGAGCGGACAAAUACUAAUCGAUCGAGGACUUAACCAAAA
RNAcentral lists this ribosomal RNA (2539 nucleotides) under Listeria monocytogenes. RNAcentral describes it as "bacterial LSU rRNA". It matches the Rfam family "Bacterial large subunit ribosomal RNA", at positions 390 to 2925 of the family's 2925-position model. The record is from RNAcentral. Lineage: Bacteria; Bacillati; Bacillota; Bacilli; Caryophanales; Listeriaceae.